GGGAUCCAGAGUAGAUAUCCAAAGUAGACCGCCUGUAGUAUGAAUUCGGAGUAGACUGCUUGCUGUAGAAAUUCGGCUCUUGUGGGAGCUCGGGUGGAAUUCGAAAGGUGAUCGACUGUCGUAGAAACUUGGAUGGAGUCUGGUUACUAUAGAAAUCUUAUUGUCAGAGAAGCUCGGAUAUUGAUGAAGUUCGAAAGAAGUUCGGAGUAAGGUCGUCCAUGGCUGGAAGAAGUUUGGAAGGGAUUCGAAGAAUAGUUGAUCAUUGUAGAAGAUUGGCUGAUAGUGAAGCCCAGAGAGCCUUUGGAGUGGCUCGGUAGAUGAAUGUAGAAGCUCAUUGUCUGAGAAGUCCAGAUGGUAUUAUGGAAGCUCGGAUGGUUGAGGGGGUUCAGAAAGAUGCCACAC
RNAcentral lists this long non-coding RNA (402 nucleotides) under Elaeis guineensis (African oil palm). Its description in RNAcentral is "long non-coding RNA (EGUI_LNC066054)". The record is from RNAcentral. Lineage: Eukaryota; Viridiplantae; Streptophyta; Magnoliopsida; Arecales; Arecaceae.